RNAcentral lists this ribosomal RNA (253 nucleotides) under uncultured bacterium. Its description in RNAcentral is "partial 16S ribosomal RNA". It matches the Rfam family "Bacterial small subunit ribosomal RNA", at positions 524 to 776 of the family's 1533-position model. The record is from RNAcentral.
UACGAAGGGGGCUAGCGUUGUUCGGAAUUACUGGGCGUAAAGCGCACGUAGGCGGGUUGUUAAGUCAGGGGUGAAAUCCUGGAGCUCAACUCCAGAACUGCCUUUGAUACUGGCAAUCUCGAGUUCGGGAGAGGUGAGUGGAACUGCGAGUGUAGAGGUGAAAUUCGUAGAUAUUCGCAAGAACACCAGUGGCGAAGGCGGCUCACUGGCCCGAUACUGACGCUGAGGUGCGAAAGCGUGGGGAGCAAACAGG